Molecule: long non-coding RNA, 413 nt
Filed under: Ananas comosus (pineapple)
Lineage: Eukaryota; Viridiplantae; Streptophyta; Magnoliopsida; Poales; Bromeliaceae
Description: long non-coding RNA (ACOM_LNC013758)
Source: RNAcentral
UAAGCUGCGGGAGGAAAAGAGAUAAAAUCAAGGCUUAAAGUGCCUAUCGGUAUGACCCGCGCGUAUCUAUCUUACCGUAUCGUGCCAACAAGAUAUCGACACGAUACAGCUCCCAAGACAAUGAACAACUCAAAACCCUCUAUUAUUGAAAUUAGUACGUAAUUUUCUCAAUAAAGUUUAAAAAUUUUGAUAAAAAUAUAUAAUAAGUAAUCGGCAUAUAUGUUGUUACUAAAAAAAUAUAUAGAUUUCACAUCAUUACGUGUCGGCACGCAUAUAUUUUUUGCAACCGACAUUUAUCGGCACUACUCGGCACACGCCAUAUCAUACUGUGCCGGCAAGUUUCCGGCACGAUUUCGUAUCACGAUACUUAAAUCCUUGAAUAAAAUACAUAAUAAAAAUAUACCCACUUAUAU